AAGUGCCUCUUAUAUCCACAGAGAAGAAGUGCGGAAUUAUCCAUAAACUUCAAAACCUGAGCCUGGCUGUGCGGGGGGAGCUAAUAGACAACUCUGCAAAGGACGGGAAUCCUUUUGAAAGGAAGCGUGGAGCUCUCACAAAAGAGAAGAAACCUGGAGCAAUAAACAAUUUCUGUCUACACAAAGAGGGGCAGUCACAUUCCCAUCUUAGAUCCUUUAUUUUGGACUCCAGUUGGUGUGAAUUGAAACUGCCUUUUAGUUGGGAGCUACAUCAAUGCUGGGACCUUGAGAUUACAAUGGAUGCUCAUUACACGUGAGAUGAAAGUUGAGAAGUCGUGUCCAUCAAAAGGUGCUGGAUUGACGGCAUCAGAAAUUAUAUGCGGAGAGAGCCUGUUGCAGUGAAGAAGGUGGGGUUUGCCUCCCGCAGGUGAGGCCCUUCUCCAGCCCCAUGCCCAAUAUUACCAUGGCACUCAUAAAAACACCAUCUAUCCUAUUCUUUGUUUUUUGCUGCCUGGGAACUCCUCAAGGGCAGGAUCUUAUUGAAGAUGUUUGUAUCAGCAGCACCUGGCAGAGUGCCUGGGCCCAAAAGUACACUCCCAAGAAACAUUUGCUGAAUUUAAUUACAACAUCUUGCAGGUUCUCUGACCAUCCAGUGCCUUGCUGUUUAAUAAAGAGAUGGGGAUCUCGCCGUGUUGCUCAGACUGGUGUCAAAUUCCUGGACUCAAGCCAUCCUUCCACCUCGGCCUCCCAAACUGUUGGGAUUACAGGACAUAGUGGUUGCUUCCAAUGCUUGGAGGGUCUGAAUAGAGCAUCUAUAAACGUUCAUAUGCAAGUUUUUGUGUGGGCAUCAGUUUCCGAAUCAAGUAAAUAACUAGAAGCACAACUGCUGUGAUUACCCGAAUCAGGUAAAUAACUAGAAGCACAACAUGAUA
This 932-nucleotide long non-coding RNA is filed under the name Callithrix jacchus (white-tufted-ear marmoset). RNAcentral describes it as "lncRNA (ENSCJAG00000077883.1)". Lineage: Eukaryota; Metazoa; Chordata; Mammalia; Primates; Cebidae. The record is from RNAcentral.